AGAGUCCUGAAGUGUACGUUACAUUACCUAAAUAUUGACCGAACAUUAUUUCUUCGGGAGUCUGGAGUUUUCUGGCAGCGUAAAUGCCCCGGCCCGAGCGGUAAGGGGACUUACAAAUCUGGAAGCAGGACACCCACCUGCUAAAUGCGGGAUCAAUAUGAAGGAACCCAAAAGUGACGGCACGAUUGGGACUCUU
This 196-nucleotide non-coding RNA is filed under the name Bacillus sp. MUM 116. RNAcentral describes it as "6S / SsrS RNA". It matches the Rfam family "6S / SsrS RNA". Rfam says of the family: E. coli 6S RNA was the first non coding RNA to be sequenced, but its function was unknown until recently. It consists of 184 nucleotides that fold into an extended hairpin structure with a large single-stranded internal bulge. The record is from Rfam by way of RNAcentral. Lineage: Bacteria; Bacillati; Bacillota; Bacilli; Caryophanales; Bacillaceae.